Molecule: ribosomal RNA, 254 nt
Filed under: uncultured bacterium
Lineage: Bacteria
Description: partial 16S ribosomal RNA
Rfam family: Bacterial small subunit ribosomal RNA
Source: RNAcentral
UACGUAGGGGGCGAGCGUUGUCCGAAGUUACUGGGCGUAAAGCGCGCGUAGGCGGUCCUUUAAGUCUGAGGUGAAAGGUUCAGCGCUCAACGUGAACAGUGCCUUGGAGACUGGGGGACUUGAGUUUGGGAGAGGGAUGCGGAAUUCCAGGUGUAGCGGUGAAAUGCGUAGAUAUCUGGAGGAACACCGGUGGCGAAGGCGGCGUUCUGGACUGCAACUGACACUGAGGAACGAAAGCCAGGGGAGCAAACGGG